Myxocyprinus asiaticus (Chinese sucker) is the source of this 584-nucleotide long non-coding RNA. RefSeq lists it as uncharacterized. NCBI's taxonomy places the organism in Eukaryota, Metazoa, Chordata, Actinopteri, Cypriniformes, Catostomidae. The transcript is spliced from 3 exons. The record is from RefSeq and is a predicted model, not a curated record.
AGCAUCAGAUGCGGGUUGGCACUGUUUUUUACCUGGGUGAGACAUAACAAACUGUCCCCUGAAUCGAGCCUCUGUCUUGAAGUUCACAACAAGACGGCCUUCUUCAUUGAUCCUCAUGCUGGUGGGAUACAUGGCACCUAUAAAAGAUGAGUGCACAAAUAACAACAACAUCAGAGAUGUCCCAGCAGAUUGUGCUUACGGUUGCAGGUUUAUGCUUAUAGGAAAUUUUAUAAAAGUUGUGGUGGAGCUGUCUGUACACUAAUCUCUCAGCUUCCGGUGGGCUUCCAAUACCAUCUUGCCAUAAUAUGGCAGUGUCAUACACAAAGGUAAGCCGUAGCUCAGACCGCAGGUCAAAAUGUUGCCAGCCGCCAACAGCAACAGGAGAGUGGAAGACGUAAGACACAAACAGAGGGACGCGCAGGGUUACAUAGGACUGAACAAGAUUCAGCACCUACAGACACAGUAAGCCAAACUGUGGUGGUGACAUCAGCCUCACCCUCGUCUCUGCUGAUGACCACAAUGGGCGAGCUGAGCUCCAGCCCAGCGUCUCCAUUGGCGUUGAAGGCUCGGGCGGCACAUUGCAC